This 368-nucleotide transfer-messenger RNA is filed under the name Stappia indica. It matches the Rfam family "Alphaproteobacteria transfer-messenger RNA". From Rfam's summary of the family: Bacterial tmRNA, also known as 10Sa RNA or SsrA, is named for its dual tRNA and mRNA-like properties. Its role is to liberate the mRNA from a stalled ribosome. Lineage: Bacteria; Pseudomonadati; Pseudomonadota; Alphaproteobacteria; Hyphomicrobiales; Stappiaceae. The record is from RNAcentral.
CCUCUUUUCAGCCGGCCAUCCUGCCCCUAUAUUCGUUUUGCCGGUGCAAGCCGGCUAUGGCGAUAAACGGACUUCGGAAUAAGCCUAUCGGACCCGGGGGCGGUACCCGGCGCCUCCACCCAAGCCCGCCGCACGAUCCAUCGAUCGGCGGGUUUCGGCGGGGGCGAAAUAGGAUCGACGAGGGUGUAAAGGUCGUUCUUUUGCUCGGCAUGGUUCCGCCGUUAUCGGGCCGUCUCAAUAGUUGCAAAUGACAACUAUGCUAUGGACAACGCUGUCGCCGCGUAAUGCGGUGCCGGUAGUCCUUUAAGUCCUGGCGGUUAGCCCCGUCAGGCGGGGUCCGGAGGCACCUGGCAACAGAAGCCUCCACU